ACUGCCCCUUGAGGCGUUGCAGCCCAACUGUUAGUGUUGCAGCUGUGUCAUAAGGUGGCAGAGAGAGACUGGUGGUAGUUUACACU
Molecule: non-coding RNA, 86 nt
Organism: Oreochromis niloticus (Nile tilapia)
Lineage: Eukaryota; Metazoa; Chordata; Actinopteri; Cichliformes; Cichlidae
Source: Rfam